GGAUUUACUUUUUAAUUCUAAAUAAGUAUUAUAGUUUUGAGAACAUAAUUCAUCCCAUGGUGAGGGAAGUUUUAGGAAAAAUUACUGUAACCAAAAUUUUGAAUGUUUUUCAUCCAAUUUUUGAUAUUCAUAAAUAUGUCUUCUGCAAAAAUCAUCUAAAUUUAGAAUAUCACACAAUUUUAAUUUUGAUAAAAAAUGUUAAGCUUCUUGAUUGGGAUCUAGAGUUUUUGUAUUCCCAUAAAACUCAUUUUUUAAGAUUUGUGUUAAAUCUUUUAAAAGUUGAGGUAUAUUACUUGUUGCAAAAAGUGAAGAUUUCUGGGUUACUCCUAGAGUUGUUGUUUCCCAUUUUUUAAGAAAUUGUAGAAGUCUCAUUGCCAUGUGCCACAGAAAUAAUUAAAAAACCUUUCUUUGUUCCAGUUGUCUUUGUAAGCUGUGACAAUAAUAGACAUAAAUUAUGCCAAAUCAUCUAUGGUUUUUCCAUAGUCUUUGAAAGGGACUCUUGUUAGAUCUAAAUAAGUGUCGCAUUGUGUAAUAGUUUAUUUGUUUAAUGAAUCUAUGAUAAGGACUUAAGCUUUUACUUGGCUUGUUUGGCCAGGUUCUGAAGUUUUCUUAAUCUCAUCCUUUUUUAGGUGAGGUUUAUGCUGAGCUAAUUCUUUCAGAUAAUGUAAAUAAUCAGGAAAAUGAAAAAAAUCAUCAAUAUUUGGGUUAGAUAUAUCUAAUGCUUUUCUUUUACCACGAUCUUCUGUUUGAGGAUUUUGGUUUUGAGGUUCUGGAUCUAGUUGAUCUGCAGAACUUGAAGAGUCUUUAGAUGUGGUUUCAUCAAAAUAAUCUUAUUCAGAUUGGGAGUGGCUCCCUUAAGGGCUUUCCUCAGGUGAUGAAUAGUUAACUUAAAACUGGUACAGAUAAGGAGAAUCCCACUGUUUAAUUAAAACAAAGCAUUGCAAUGGUCUUUACUGAUGCUUACGUAAUGUGAUUUCUGCCCAAUGCUCUGUAUGUCAAAGUAAAGAAAUUCAACUAAGCGCAGGUAGACGGCGGGAGUAACUAUGACUUUUUUAAGGUAGCUAAAUACCUCGCCAUUUAAUUAGGGAUGCACAUGAAUGGAUUAAUGAGAUUCUCACUAUCUCUGUCUACUAUCCAGUGAAAUCACAGCCAAAGGAUCGAGCUUGGUAGAAUUAGUGGCAAAAGAAUAUCUUAUUGAGCUUAACUUUACUCUGACUUUGUGAAAUGACUUAAGAGCUGUAGGAUAAGUGGAAGCCCUUGGGCAAAAUUGAAAUAUCACUACUUUUAAUAUUAUUUUACUUAUUCUGUGAAUUAAAGGUGGGGUAUGACUUAUUUUUUUAGAUUCAAGGUUGGCCUUGAUUGAUCGAUCUAGAUGGAAGAUAUUGUCAAGUAGAGAGUUUGGCUAGGGUGGCACAUCUAUUAAAAGAUAACGCAUGUGUCCUCAUAUGAGCUUAAUGAGAAAAGAAAUCUGUUAUGGAACAAAAGGGUAAAAGUUAAUUUGAUUCUAAUUUUUAGUACGAAUAUAAACCAUGAAAACAUGGUUUAUUGAUCCUUUUGACCUUUGAAAUUUGAAGCUAGAGGUAUCAAAAAAGUUACCACAAGGGAUAAUUGGCUUAUGGUAACCAAGCAUUCGUAGCAACAUUGCUUUUUGAUCCUUCGAUGUUGGCUCUUCCUAUCGUUGUGAAUUAGAAUUCACCAAGUGUUAGAUUGUUCACCCACUAAUAAGGAACAUGAGCUGGGUUUAGACCAUCAUGAGAUAAGUUAGUUUUACCUUCUUGAUGGUAGCAUCACAAUCAUAAUUUAAUCUAGUAUGAGAGAAACCAUUGAUUUGCACAAUUGGUCAUCGUGCUUGGUUGAAAAGCCAUUAACAUGAAACUACCAUGUGUUGGAUUAUGAUUGAAUGCCUCUAAGUUAAAAUUCAAGCUAGAAGUGACACAUGCACAUAUCACUCAAUUGUAAACCUACAGUAAGGGCCAAUGACCCCGAAGGGCAUGUGUCAUAGGUACAGUCUCCGAGGCAGACAAGUUACGCAAGCUUUUUUAGAGCUUAAUUCUCACUGAA
This 2061-nucleotide ribosomal RNA is filed under the name Durio zibethinus. RNAcentral's name for it is "eukaryotic LSU rRNA". The stretch from base 656 to 2061 matches the Rfam family "Eukaryotic large subunit ribosomal RNA", at positions 1891 to 3287 of the family's 3401-position model. Lineage: Eukaryota; Viridiplantae; Streptophyta; Magnoliopsida; Malvales; Malvaceae. The record is from RNAcentral.